GAUCUUAUAGUUUAAAAAAAAUGUAAAAUUGCAAGUUUUGAGAUGAAGAUUUUCUAAGAUUU
This 62-nucleotide transfer RNA is filed under the name Empoascanara dwalata. RNAcentral's name for it is "tRNA-Cys". The record is from RNAcentral. Lineage: Eukaryota; Metazoa; Arthropoda; Insecta; Hemiptera; Cicadellidae.